UAGGGUCUUAAAAUUUGAAGGUAUUUGGGGACAAUUCGCUGCGAUUCAUAUAUAACUAGGGGAGGAUUAUUUUUGUGACAGCAAUGAGGCACAAUGUCGAGUAAGUUUAGGUCCCUAAUCGUAUCAUUCAAUCAAUACGUUUUGUUUAUUGUUUCUAUUCUUGCAUAUGCAAACACAAAUAAUGUAACUCGUACAUUUUUGCUAAUACAAUAAUAAUUAAUCACAGGAGAAUUUAUGGAAAGGUUUAAAAAAAAGUGAAGACCUCGGCAUAAGAUGAUAUAACUAGCCCAUCACAUUCAGAAUAUAUUGACAUAUGUCGUCAUCUGAUCAUAUUUGUUUUCAUUGUUUGGAGUUCUUAUGCUUAAUUGUUCAAAUUUACAUAAUCAAUUAGUAUUUCAAGUGGAAGUGAACAAUUUAUUUUGGUAAGAAAUCUUGUUGCCAUAUAAUUUGUGUUGUUGG
This 459-nucleotide long non-coding RNA is filed under the name Triticum aestivum (bread wheat). Its description in RNAcentral is "long non-coding RNA (TAES_LNC023807)". Lineage: Eukaryota; Viridiplantae; Streptophyta; Magnoliopsida; Poales; Poaceae. The record is from RNAcentral.